This 69-nucleotide small RNA is filed under the name Salix viminalis (osier). The record is from RNAcentral. Lineage: Eukaryota; Viridiplantae; Streptophyta; Magnoliopsida; Malpighiales; Salicaceae.
GUGGUUUGGCCAAGUGGUUAAGGUGUGCGCCGUUUCCCCGCAGUCAGAGUUCGAAUCUCUCAAGCCACA